This 452-nucleotide ribosomal RNA is filed under the name uncultured bacterium. Its description in RNAcentral is "bacterial SSU rRNA". It matches the Rfam family "Bacterial small subunit ribosomal RNA", at positions 9 to 507 of the family's 1533-position model. The record is from RNAcentral.
CGAGUUUGAUCCUGGCUCAGAACGAACGCUGGCGGCAGGCCUAAUACAUGCAAGUCGAACGAUCCUUCGGGAUAGUGGCGCACGGGUGAGUAACACGUGGGAACAUACCCUUGGGUGCGGAACAACGUCGGGAAACUGACGCUAAUACCGCAUAAUGACUCCGGUCCAAAGAUUUAUCGCCCAAGGAUUGGCCCGCGCUAGAUUAGGUUGUUGGUGAGGUAACGGCUCACCAAGCCUACGAUCUAUAGCUGGUCUGAGAGGAUGAUCAGCCACACUGGGACUGAGACACGGCCCAGACUCCUACGGGAGGCAGCAGUAAGGAAUAUUGGACAAUGGGGGCGAACCCUGAUCCAGCCAUGCCGCGUGAGUGAAGAAGGCCUUAGGGUUGUAAAGCUCUUUCAGGUGCGAAGAUAAUGACUGUAACACCAGAAGAAGCCCCGGCUAAAUUCGUG